AUGAACGCUGGCGGCGUGCCUAACACAUGCAAGUCGAACGGAGUCCAGCCUUUAAGACCUUCGGGUCAAAGAGGGGAAGACUGAGUGGCGGACGGGUGAGUAACACGUGGGCAACCUGGCUCAUAGAGGGGGAUAACAGAGAGAAAUUUCUGCUAAUACCGCAUAAGCACACACUGCCGCAUGGCAGAGGGUGAAAAGAGAAUCGCUAUGAGAUGGACCCGCGUCUGAUUAGCCAGUUGGCAGGGUAAGAGCCUACCAAAGCGACGAUCAGGAGCCGAUCUGGAGGGAUUGACGGGCACCAUUGGACUGAGACCCCGCCCCAACCCCUUCGGGAGGCAGGCGUUGGGGAUAUUGCACAAUGGGGGGAACCCUGAUGCAGCGACGCCGCGUGAGUGAAGAAGUAUUUCGGUAUGUAAAGCUCUAUCAGCAGGGAAGAUAAUGACAGUACCUGAAUAAGAAGCCCCGGCUAACUACGUG
Molecule: ribosomal RNA, 477 nt
Filed under: uncultured bacterium
Lineage: Bacteria
Description: partial 16S ribosomal RNA
Rfam family: Bacterial small subunit ribosomal RNA
Source: RNAcentral